This is a long non-coding RNA of Galeopterus variegatus (Sunda flying lemur), 409 nucleotides long. RefSeq lists it as uncharacterized. The record is from RefSeq and is a predicted model, not a curated record. The transcript is spliced from 2 exons. Lineage: Eukaryota; Metazoa; Chordata; Mammalia; Dermoptera; Cynocephalidae.
CUACCCAGGAAAGGAGCGAUCCAUUGUGAGGGGCCAGAGAGGCUUGGAGGAGAGGACUCCAGUGUUCCAAGACCCAAGGGAUGAGCAGAAAUUGGCCAGGGCGAGGAGGAAGAAUGGCCUUCUGGUGGAGGGAACAGCAGGCUCAAGCCUUAAGAAACUGGCAGCUUCCAGCUUCCACCACGCUGUGAGGAAGCUCAAGCAUCCACGUGGAAAAGCUGACAGCCCAUCUAAGAUCCCAGCCAAUGAUUGCAGCAACAACCAGACAUGAGAAUGAAUGAACCUCGAGAUGACUCCAAACCUCACUUGUUGAGUUAUCCUCCACCUUUGAGACCUCCACCUGAGGGAAGGAAGAGAAAACUGUAUCAGCAAAGGCAGAAAUGUUGGAAAGAAUAAAACCUGUCCAAGCAAA